Long non-coding RNA from Mus musculus (house mouse), 559 nucleotides. RefSeq annotates it as RIKEN cDNA 4930447A16 gene. The record is from RefSeq and is marked validated. NCBI's taxonomy places the organism in Eukaryota, Metazoa, Chordata, Mammalia, Rodentia, Muridae. The transcript has 4 exons.
GCUGGCUUAAUCUAGACUGUGGGGAUCAUGACUAGUUUUAUUUAUUCAGGAAGACAGGGAGCCUUGCGUUGGGGAGGAUGCACAGUCCCACGGGCCUUGAGAGCUUUGCAUCAGUCAGAGACGCAACAAUCCUGUGGCAUCCUUCAUGCAAUAAUUUAUGACCAUGAAUAUUAUUUAUUUCUGAAUUGGAGCUAUAAAUUCACCAGGGAUUUCUGGCAAAGAGGAAAAGCUACUUUCCGAAGUCAAACGCCAGUCUCCAUUUUACAAAAAGAACGGACUGACCACUCAAGUGAUGAAGAUGUCGGGGAAGAUUGUGCAAGCUUAAGGAGGCAGAUCCUUGCUGGAGAAAGUGGAUCACUGGAGAAAAGUCCCAUGUCCUCUGUAUGUGUGCCACUCCACCUGGUCACUCUGCAGACAUUACUCUAGCAUUGUAGUACCUCCAGAUGAGGAAGCACACAGUACAUCAUUCUUGGGACACAAAAGCCUGAAGUAUAGACAUAAAAGCUUUGUUUGUUUGAGAAUUUGCUUAAAAUAAAUAGUGCUUGUUAGCAAACAGCCA